CCUACGGGAGGCAGCAGUGAGGACUAUUGGUCAAUGGACGAGAGUCUGAACCAGCCAAGUAGCGUGAAGGAUGACUGCCCUAUGGGUUGUAAACUUCUUUUAUAUGGGAAUAAAAUGUUCCACGUGUGGGAUUUUGUAUGUACCAUAUGAAUAAGGAUCGGCUAACUCCGUGCCAGCAGCCGCGGUAAUCCGGAGGAUCCGAGCGUUAUCCGGAUUUAUUGGGUUUAAAGGGAGCGUAGGUGGAUUGUUAAGUCAGUUGUGAAAGUUUGCGGCUCAACCGUAAAAUUGCAGUUGAAACUGGCAGUCUUGAGUACAGUAGAGGUGGGCGGAAUGCGUGGUGUAGCGGUGAAAUGCUUAGAUAUCACGAAGAACUCCGAUUGCGAAGGCAGUUCACUGGACUGCAACUGACACUGAGGCUCGAAAGUGUGGGUAUCAAACAGGAUUAGAUACCCGGGUAGUC
Molecule: ribosomal RNA, 460 nt
Filed under: uncultured bacterium
Lineage: Bacteria
Description: partial 16S ribosomal RNA
Rfam family: Bacterial small subunit ribosomal RNA
Source: RNAcentral